CAGUCGCCGCGGUAAUACGUAGGUGGCAAGCGUUGUCCGGAAUUAUUGGGCGUAAAGGGCUCGCAGGCGGUUUCUUAAGUCUGAUGUGAAAGCCCCCGGCUCAACCGGGGAGGGUCAUUGGAAACUGGGAAACUUGAGUGCAGAAGAGGAGAGUGGGAUUCCACGUGUAGCGGUGAAAUGCGUAGAGAUGUGGAGGAACACCAGUGGCGAAGGCGACUCUCUGGUCUGUAACUGACGCUGAGGAGCGAAAGCGUGGGGAGCGAACAGGAUUAGAUACCCGAGUAGUCCCUGUCUCUUAUAA
Molecule: ribosomal RNA, 301 nt
Filed under: uncultured bacterium
Lineage: Bacteria
Description: partial 16S ribosomal RNA
Rfam family: Bacterial small subunit ribosomal RNA
Source: RNAcentral